Molecule: ribosomal RNA, 118 nt
Filed under: Oryctolagus cuniculus (rabbit)
Lineage: Eukaryota; Metazoa; Chordata; Mammalia; Lagomorpha; Leporidae
Source: RNAcentral
AUCUGCGGCCAAACCACCCUGAAUGGACCCGAUUUCCUCUGAUCUCGGAAGCUAAGCAGGAUUGGGCCUGGUUACUACUUGGAUGGGAGAUUGAUUCACUCCCCAGAUGCCUCCAACA